This 253-nucleotide ribosomal RNA is filed under the name uncultured bacterium. Its description in RNAcentral is "partial 16S ribosomal RNA". It matches the Rfam family "Bacterial small subunit ribosomal RNA", at positions 524 to 776 of the family's 1533-position model. The record is from RNAcentral.
GACGUAGGGUGCGAGCGUUGUCCGGAUUUAUUGGGCGUAAAGAGCUCGUAGGCGGCUUGUCGCGUCGUCCGUGAAAACCUGGGGCUCAACCCCAGGCUUGCGGUCGAUACGGGCAGGCUAGAGUUCGGUAGGGGAGACUGGAAUUCCUGGUGUAGCGGUGAAAUGCGCAGAUAUCAGGAGGAACACCGGUGGCGAAGGCGCCACUCUGGGCCGAAACUGACGCUGAGGAGCGAAAGCGUGGGUAGCAAACAGG